UACGUAGGUGGCAAGCGUUGUCCGGAUUUAUUGGGCGUAAAGAGCGUGUAGGCGGCUUUACAGGUCCGUUGUGAAAACUCGAGGCUCAACCUCGAGACGCCGGUGGAAACCGUAAGGCUAGAGUCCGGAAGAGGAGAGUGGAAUUCCUGGUGUAGCGGUGAAAUGCGCAGAUAUCAGGAGGAACACCCGUGGCGAAAGCGGCUCUCUGGGACGGUACUGACGCUGAGACGCGAAAGCGUGGGGAGCGAACAGG
This 253-nucleotide ribosomal RNA is filed under the name uncultured bacterium. RNAcentral describes it as "partial 16S ribosomal RNA". It matches the Rfam family "Bacterial small subunit ribosomal RNA", at positions 524 to 776 of the family's 1533-position model. The record is from RNAcentral.